AUUGAACGCUGGCGGCAGGCCUAACACAUGCAAGUCGAGCGGAUGAAGGGAGCUUGCUCCUGGAUUCAGCGGCGGACGGGUGAGUAAUGCCUAGGAAUCUGCCUGGUAGUGGGGGAUAACGUCCGGAAACGGGCGCUAAUACCGCAUACGUCCUGAGGGAGAAAGUGGGGGAUCUUCGGACCUCACGCUAUCAGAUGAGCCUAGGUCGGAUUAGCUAGUUGGUGGGGUAAAGGCCUACCAAGGCGACGAUCCGUAACUGGUCUGAGAGGAUGAUCAGUCACACUGGAACUGAGACACGGUCCAGACUCCUACGGGAGGCAGCAGUGGGGAAUAUUGGACAAUGGGCGAAAGCAUGAUCCAGCCAUGCCGCGUGUGUGAAGAAGGUCUUCGGAUUGUAAAGCACUUUAAGUUGGGAGGAAGGGCAGUAAGUUAAUACCUUGCUGUUUUGACGGUACCAACAGAAUAAGCACCGGCUAACUUCGUG
This 484-nucleotide ribosomal RNA is filed under the name uncultured bacterium. RNAcentral describes it as "partial 16S ribosomal RNA". It matches the Rfam family "Bacterial small subunit ribosomal RNA", at positions 30 to 507 of the family's 1533-position model. The record is from RNAcentral.